This is a non-coding RNA of Desulfosporosinus sp. OT, 87 nucleotides long. NCBI's taxonomy places the organism in Bacteria, Bacillati, Bacillota, Clostridia, Eubacteriales, Desulfitobacteriaceae. The record is from Rfam.
UUCUCACCGCAACCGCUCGAAUCAGGUGUUCAACAGGUUUUUUGCUUUAUAAAAAACCGACCUGCAAUGGCGAGUCUAGGGCAUGGG